Molecule: ribosomal RNA, 1299 nt
Filed under: seawater metagenome
Description: bacterial LSU rRNA
Rfam family: Bacterial large subunit ribosomal RNA
Source: RNAcentral
AAGCGUAAUAGCUCACUAGUCGAGUCGGCCUGCGCGGAAGAUGUAACGGGGCUAAGCAAUAUACCGAAGCUGCGGAUACGUGUUUACACGUAUGGUAGGGGAGCGUUGUGUAAGUGGAUGAAGGUGGAUUGAGAAGUCUGCUGGACAUAUCACAAGUGCGAAUGCUGACAUGAGUAACGAUAAUGGGAGUGAAAAACUCCCACGCCGGAAGACCAAGGUUUCCUGUCCCAUGCUAAUCAGGGCAGGGUAAGUCGGCCCCUAAGGCGAGGCAGAAAUGCGUAGUCGAUGGGAAACGGAUUAAUAUUUCCGUACUUAUAUAAUCAGUGAUGGAGGGACGGAGAAGGCUAAGCAAGCUUGGCGUUGGUUGUCCAAGUGAAAGCAAGUAGGCCGAGAAUUUAGGUAAAUCCGGAUUCUUAAAGCUGAGAUGCGAGACGAGCCACUACGGUGGUGAAGUUGUUGAUGCCCUGCUUCCAGGAAAAGCUUCUAAACUUAUGAUUAUAUGAACCGUACCCCAAACCGACACAGGUGGUCAGGUAGAGAAUACUAAGGCGCUUGAGAGAACUCGGGUGAAGGAACUCGGCAAAAUUGUACCGUAACUUCGGGAGAAGGUACGCCCUUGUUUGUGAUAGGACUUGCUCCUUGAGCAGAUGAGGGCCGCAGUGACCAGGUGGCUGGGACUGUUUAUUAAAAACACAGCACUCUGCUAACUCGCAAGAGGACGUAUAGGGUGUGACACCUGCCCGGUGCCGGAAGGUUAAUUGAUGGGGUUAUCUUCGGAGAAGCUCUUGAUCGAAGCCCCGGUAAACGGCGGCCGUAACUAUAACGGUCCUAAGGUAGCGAAAUUCCUUGUCGGGUAAGUUCCGACCUGCACGAAUGGUGUAACCAUGGCCACGCUGUCUCCACCCGAGACUCAGUGAAAUUGAAAUCGCAGUGAAGAUGCUGUGUACCCGCACCUAGACGGAAAGACCCCGUGAACCUUUACUACAGCUUGGCACUGAACAUUGAACCUACAUGUGUAGGAUAGGUGGGAGGCUUCGAAGCACAGUCGCUAGAUUGUGUGGAGCCAUCCUUGAAAUACCACCCUUGUAUGUUUGAUGUUCUAACAUUGGUCCCUUAUCGGGAUUAUGGACAGUGUCUGGUGGGUAGUUUGACUGGGGCGGUCUCCUCCCAAAUAGUAACGGAGGAGCACGAAGGUUAGCUAAUCACGGUCGGACAUCGUGAGGUUAGUGCAAUGGCAUAAGCUAGCUUAACUGCGAGACAGACACGUCGAGCAGGUACGAAAGUAGGUCAUAGUGAUCC